This 126-nucleotide small nucleolar RNA is filed under the name Microcebus murinus (gray mouse lemur). RNAcentral's name for it is "Small nucleolar RNA SNORA11 (ENSMICG00000034097.2)". It matches the Rfam family "Small nucleolar RNA SNORA11". Rfam says of the family: U107 (SNORA11) is a member of the H/ACA class of snoRNAs that guide the sites of modification of uridines to pseudouridines. This snoRNA was identified by RT-PCR from blood cells and its expression confirmed by Northern blot analysis. Lineage: Eukaryota; Metazoa; Chordata; Mammalia; Primates; Cheirogaleidae. The record is from Rfam by way of RNAcentral.
GGGGUGUGCUCAGAGCAGGGGCCUGAAGAAUGGCUCUUCUGUUUACCAAACGCCCAACAGGAAUCUCGGGACACUGUAUAAGGGACACAAAACUAGUGGCCCUCCUAUGAACAAAUGCCUACAUUG